GGUGGUUCUUUGGUCUCUUGGGGUUGUGGUCAGGUGGCUGGGACUAGACGCAUCUAGAAGUUCUUGGACCUGGACCUGGGUGCCAAGGACACGGGGUCUCUGUUCCAGUGUUACAGCCUCUCACUCCCCAUGGCCUCUUUGGGGUCACUCGGAUAUUGCAAAGGGGGGAGAUUUGCUGCCUGUCAUAGAUAAGGCUAGAGGUAUGUCCUACUAGAUUCCUAAGCCUUCUGUGAAUAGCACAUAUCAAUUUAAGGUAUGGCUGCCAUUGAAUUAUAAAGAGAUGUUAUCAUCCAGAUGUGAUGCUGGGAACAUUCUGAGAAUUGAUCUGACAACGUCACGUUUACAGCACAUAUAACAGCCAGCUUCCUGAGACCUUUUCUGGAAGCAUCUUUGCAAAGGGGAUAACCUUCAAACUCACUUGGUGGAAGGGCCACUGCGCAUGCCCUGUGGUUAGUCCGGCUGUGUGCGGUCCGCCUGCCUCCCUGCGGGUCUGGGAGGUGGACCUGCCCCCCCAUCCCUGCACCCUGCUUCUCUCGGGGCUUGUCCUGGGGCCAGGAUGCUUGCCCUAAGUAGUUAUCAGGAUGCUUUUCCCUUCCCACAAUAGCUGUUGUGUGCAAGUAACUUUGUUGGAAGGUUGAAUAAAUCCUCCACCUCGAGAUGCCUGUGGGAUUCCGAGUUGCAGUUCUGUCCCUUACGGGGGGAAAAUGACAGUGAAGGCGGACGUUUGUCGUCCCAGCUCUGAGAUGGAAACAGCGCGGGACCUUCAGCCCCCUCCCCGCGCAGCCUGCCUUCCUCACCUGAUGGGGGAGCCGCACUGCACAGGAGGCCCCGCUGUGGGAUGUUUCCUCUGCCGCAGUGAUGUAGCGCCUGCAUUCCGGACAGUUCUGAGGUCUGCUCUGCACUCCGCGUUUCAGGCACUGUUACUACGUGCUGAUAAAUCAUGCUAAUAUCAUCCUUUAUGAAGCAUUUUUAGCCAGUGGCUUGCAUCAAUAAAGGCACGGAGCCUGCCCUGUGCCGCAAGCCAUGGGAGGUGGUUCAGUUCCUCAGCUAUUAGGGGCAAGCCCUGGCCUGAGCUCUGGAUGCAGGUGCAAGUCCUGUAAGACCGGGGCGGAACAAGAGGUUGUCGAGCCGCGAUGUCUGGCUCGGGACAGCGAAUGCUUUUUGUUGGACGUUGAAAACAAGAGGGACUCUGAAGACCUCAGCUGCCAGGAGGUGGGGAGGGGACUCCGUAUGUGCUUUAUGCAGGUUCAGAGACCGGAAGGCAUGGCAGUCCUUAGGUUUCCUUCUCAGUUGUCCUGCCAGGUGUCCCACAGGAUGUCCACAUUUCCAGCAUCAUCCCACGUGGACAUGGGAUGUACUAGACUCUGGGGGAGCUGGACCACGGUGGCCAGAGGCUAGCAGGUAUCUGAGGGAGGAAAGAGGUGGAGAAAGAGGGGGACCAGAACGAAGCAACGAAACAGGACACCUGGUGGCUGCUGGGACCUUACUCCUUGCUGGCCACUGCCAGUCUGCACGGCCCCUCCCACGCUGGGAUCACCGUGGCUCUUGUAUUUGGAACUACUGCUUCAUUAACCAGUGCAGAAACUGUAGCUUUCCUAUUUUGCAAAAAAGCUUUCCAUUAAAAAAAAAAAAAGAUUUUAUUUAUUUACUGGAGAGAGAGAGAGAGCACGUGCAUGCACAUGAGUGAGGGGAUGGGCAGAGGGAGAGGGAGAAGCAGACUCUGCUGAGCAGCGAGCCCUAUGUGGGGCUCGAUUCCAAGCCCCUGAGAUCACGACCUGAGCUUGACCAGAUGCUCAUUGACCAGAUGCUUAAAUGACUAAGCCACCCAGGUGCCCUGCAAAGAAGCCUUCCUAAGGAAAUACGUAGUGAUGGGGCUUUUGGUGCCCCAUUACCUGUGCAGAGAUUGUGUGUGGAAGAGCUUAGUUCUCCAAAGCACCUGAUUAUUACCAUC
Canis lupus familiaris (dog) is the source of this 1951-nucleotide long non-coding RNA. RefSeq lists it as uncharacterized. The transcript has 3 exons. NCBI's taxonomy places the organism in Eukaryota, Metazoa, Chordata, Mammalia, Carnivora, Canidae. The record is from RefSeq and is a predicted model, not a curated record.